AUACGUAGGGUGCAAGCGUUAAUCGGAAUUACUGGGCGUAAAGCGUGCGCAGGCGGUUUUGUAAGACAGUGGUGAAAUCCCCGGGCUCAACCUGGGGACUGCCAUUGUGACUGCAAGGCUGGAGUGCGGCAGAGGGGGAUGGAAUUCCGCGUGUAGCAGGUGAAUGCGUAGAUAUGCGGAGGAACACCGAUGGCGAAGGCAAUCCCCUGGGCCUGCACUGACGCUCAUGCACGAAAGCGUGGGGAGCAAACAGGAUUAGAUACCCUGGUAGUCCACGCCCUAAACGAUGUCAACUGGUUGUUGGGGAUUUAUUUUCUCAGUAACGAAGCUAACGCGUGAAGUUGACCGCCUGGGGAGUACGGCCGCAAGGUUAAAACUCAAAGGAAUUGACGGGG
This 395-nucleotide ribosomal RNA is filed under the name uncultured bacterium. Its description in RNAcentral is "partial 16S ribosomal RNA". It matches the Rfam family "Bacterial small subunit ribosomal RNA", at positions 523 to 918 of the family's 1533-position model. The record is from RNAcentral.